This 450-nucleotide ribosomal RNA is filed under the name uncultured bacterium. RNAcentral's name for it is "partial 16S ribosomal RNA". It matches the Rfam family "Bacterial small subunit ribosomal RNA", at positions 338 to 795 of the family's 1533-position model. The record is from RNAcentral.
CCUACGGGUGGCUGCAGUAAGGAAUAUUGGUCAAUGGACGAAAGUCUGAACCAGCCAUCCCGCGUGCAGGAUGAAAGCCCUAUGGGUUGUAAACUGCUUUUAGCAGAGAAGAAAAGCUUCCAUUUAUGGGGGUCUGACGGUAUCUGCAGAAUAAGCACCGGCUAACUCCGUGCCAGCAGCCGCGGUAAUACGGAGGGUGCGAGCGUUACCGGGAAUUACUGGGUCGAAAGGGUGCGAUGGCGGAGGUUGAGAACUCUUGUCGCUUAACGAUAAAAUUGCCUAUGAUUCUGGUACUCUUGAAUUGGGUUGAGGUUAGCGGAAUGUGACAUGUAGCGGUGAAAUGCAUAGAUAUGUCAUGGAACACCAAUUGCGAAGGCAGCUAACUGGGCCUUGAUUGACGCUGAGGCACGAAAGCGUGGGUAGCGAACAGGAUUAGAUACCCUUGUAGUC